AUAAAAAGCAAGGAGGCAGAAGUAGAUUCAAUAACUUCCCCAAGACCACACAGCUGGCUGAAGGAACUGGACAAAGAAGGAAUUAAGGACUUAGGAGACCUCUUCCAAGAGGAUGUGGCCACUACAAGAACACACAGCCUGACGAGACGAAGAAACUGGUUGUUUACAGAUGGCAUCCACUCUGACUGCUCCAGGACAGUUUGUCCAGGUGAAAGUAUUGCAGCACUGCAGCAAAGGGUCCCAGGUCCCGGCCUGUCUC
Molecule: long non-coding RNA, 259 nt
Organism: Hippopotamus amphibius kiboko
Lineage: Eukaryota; Metazoa; Chordata; Mammalia; Artiodactyla; Hippopotamidae
Exons: 3
Source: RefSeq, a predicted model, not a curated record